This 252-nucleotide ribosomal RNA is filed under the name uncultured bacterium. RNAcentral's name for it is "partial 16S ribosomal RNA". It matches the Rfam family "Bacterial small subunit ribosomal RNA", at positions 524 to 776 of the family's 1533-position model. The record is from RNAcentral.
UACGGAGGAUGCGAGAGUUAUCCGGAUUUAUUGGGUUUAAAGGGUGCGUAGGCGGGCUUUUAAGUCAGCGGUAAAAAUUCGGGGCUCAACCCCGUCCGGCCGUUGAAACUGGGGGCCUUGAGUGGGCGAGAAGAAGGCGGAAUGCGUGGUGUAGCGGUGAAAUGCAUAGAUAUCACGCAGAACCCCGAUUGCGAAGGCAGCCUUCCGGCGCCCUACUGACGCUGAGGCACGAAAGUGCGGGGAUCGAACAGG